GACGAACGCUGGCGGCGUGCUUAACACAUGCAAGUCGAGCGGUAAGGCCCUUUCGGGGGUACACGAGCGGCGAACGGGUGAGUAACACGUGGGUGACCUGCCCUCAGCUCUGGGAUAAGCCUGGGAAACCGGGUCUAAUACUGGAUAUGACUCCAUGACGCAUGUUGUGGGGUGGAAAGCCUUGUGCGGCUGAGGAUCGGGCCCGCGGCCUAUCAGCUUGGUUGGUGGGGUGANCGGCCUACCAAGGCGACGACGGGUAGCCGGCCUGAGAGGCGACCGGCCACACUGGGACUGAGACACGGCCCAGACU
This 310-nucleotide ribosomal RNA is filed under the name uncultured bacterium. RNAcentral describes it as "bacterial SSU rRNA". It matches the Rfam family "Bacterial small subunit ribosomal RNA", at positions 28 to 337 of the family's 1533-position model. The record is from RNAcentral.